AUUGAACGCUGGCGGCAGGCCUAACACAUGCAAGUCGAACGGUAACAGGAAACAGCUUGCUGUUUCGCUGACGAGUGGCGGACGGGUGAGUAAUGUCUGGGAAACUGCCUGAUGGAGGGGGAUAACUACUGGAAACGGUAGCUAAUACCGCAUAACGUCGCAAGACCAAAGAGGGGGACCUUCGGGCCUCUUGCCAUCGGAUGUGCCCAGAUGGGAUUAGCUAGUAGGUGGGGUAACGGCUCACCUAGGCGACGAUCCCUAGCUGGUCUGAGAGGAUGACCAGCCACACUGGAACUGAGACACGGUCCAGACUCCUACGGGAGGCAGCAGUGGGGAAUAUUGCACAAUGGGCGCAAGCCUGAUGCAGCCAUGCCGCGUGUAUGACGAAGGCCUUCGGGUUGUAAAGUACUUUCAGCGGGGAGGAAGGGAGUAAAGUUAAUACCUUUGCUCAUUGACGUUACCCGCAGAAGAAGCACCGGCUAACUCCGUG
This 490-nucleotide ribosomal RNA is filed under the name uncultured bacterium. RNAcentral's name for it is "partial 16S ribosomal RNA". It matches the Rfam family "Bacterial small subunit ribosomal RNA", at positions 30 to 507 of the family's 1533-position model. The record is from RNAcentral.